GGGUAACCUGCCCUAUGCUGGGGAAUAACCUCGGGAAACUGAGAAUAAUGCCCCAUAGUCCACCAUGCCUGGAACGGUUGGUGGAUCAAAGCCCCGGCGGCAUAGGAUGGGCCUGCGGCGUAUCAGGUCGUAGGGGGUGUAACGUACCCUCUAGCCAUCGACGCGUACGGGUGUUGGGAGACAUAGCCCGGAGAUGGAUUCUGAGACACGAAUCCAGACCCUACGGGGUGCAGCAGGCGCGAAAACUUGGCAAUGCGAGAAAUCGUGACCAGGGAACUCCAAGUGGCUGGGGUAAGACCCAGUCUUUUCUUGACUCUUCAAAGGUCUUGGAAUAAGGGGUGGGUAAGGACGGUGCCAGCCGCCGCGGUAAUACCGGCGCCUCAAGUGGUAGUCGAUUUUAUUGGGCCUAAAACGUCCGUCGCCUGUUUGGUACAUUCGUGGGUAAAUCAACCAGCUCAACUGGUUGAAUUCUGCGAGCACGGCCAGACUUGGGACCGGGAGAGGUGUGGGGUACGCUCAGGGUAGGGGUAAAAUCCUGUCAUCCUGAGCGGACCACCUGUUGCGAAGGCUCCACACUAGAACGGAUCCGACGGUCAGGGACGAAGCCUAGGGGCACGAACCGGAUUAGAUACCCGGGUAGUCCUAGGUGUAAACGCUGUGGACUUGGUGUUGGGAAGGUUCCGAGCCUUCUCAGUGCCGAAGCGAAGGUGAUAAGUCCACUGCCUGGGGAGUACGGUCGCAAGGCUGAAACUU
Molecule: ribosomal RNA, 753 nt
Filed under: uncultured Candidatus Poseidoniales archaeon
Lineage: Archaea; Methanobacteriati; Thermoplasmatota; Candidatus Poseidoniia; Candidatus Poseidoniales
Description: bacterial SSU rRNA
Rfam family: Archaeal small subunit ribosomal RNA
Source: RNAcentral